UCGAAGGGCUUCGGCCCUAUCGUGAUAGAACCCUUGCCUUUUGAGUACCUUCUGUUUCCUCGGUAGGCUCGCCUGCCAAUGGGGACCCUACAAAACCUUUGCAGCAACCGUCUACUUGUCUGAUAGAAAAUCAAAUAAUCA
RNAcentral lists this unclassified non-coding RNA (141 nucleotides) under uncultured Sporormia. Its description in RNAcentral is "sequence contains ITS1". Lineage: Eukaryota; Fungi; Ascomycota; Dothideomycetes; Pleosporales; Sporormiaceae. The record is from RNAcentral.